UCUUUCUGUAUGAAGUGCUUCAUAGUGAAUUUAAGACAAGAAAGGAACCACAAUAUACAGUAUUCAGAAAAGUAUUGAUCCAUGCACUCAGCUGAAUGUAUAAUCUUCCAGGUUUUCAGUCGGCACUUAUCUAAAUGAUGACAUUUGUUACACAUCUCUAGUUUCACAAUUUAUUAAGGUCGACGAAUUUAUUAAGUAUCUGAAGACACCAAAGCUGAGGCGGACAAUUUUUACAUACAAUCCACAAUCCGAUAUUAGAGGGGGAAAACCCGCUUAGCAGUUUGUUCUUUUUUGCUUUUCAUUUCCUACAAAUUUCCUCGUUGUCUUUCUUCGUUUCUCUUUAAACCACUUUCUGCAUCUCUUCCACUCUCUCUCGCCCUUUCUCUCUCUCUCUCUCUCUCUCUCUCUCUCUUUCACUCUAACUUGCAUGUGGUCUUUCUGACUGUCUGCCUGUCAUUCUUUCCCCGUCUCUUUCUCUCUUUCUCCCCCUCUCUCUCUCUCUCACAUACACUGUUUCUCUUUCUCUUCCAAAUCUUUCUCUUUCAUACAUACUCUUUUUCUUCCCUCUCUUCCUCUCUCUUUCUUUCUCACUCUGUCUACCACCUUUUUUCUCUUAAUUUCCUUAACUCACGAUCUCUCGCCCUCUCGUUCCCUCUCUCUUUUUCACAUUCCCUCUCUGUGUUUCUAUUUCCAUCGUCCUCUCUCACUGUCUUCUCUCUCUUCUUUCACUCCCUUAAACUGAGUGUCUUUCACUCACUCAUACUCAGCAUAUACUCUCUCUCUUCUCUUUUACUGCAACUAACACUGUCUUUGUUUCACUCAUACUCGAUCUCCCUUUCUUUCCCUCUCACUCACGCAUCUUAAUUAUAUUCUGCCUGAUUAUCCUCCCACUUCCUCUCUCUAAUUUUUAAAUUCGAAAGCUUAAAAUCAGAAACAGUAACAAUUCUCCUACUUUUCCCACCGCAAAUAACUUGCCUACAGCAAAAUUUUUAGAAAACCGAGGUGAUUCGAUUUCUACCCAUAUAUCUGCUGAAAUGUUUCUGCCUCGUCUAGAGCAAAAUUUUCUAACAGUUCUUUACAGUUUAACAACAUUUGUUUCAAUUUCUGGUAAUAUAUUAUCAAUAAUAGUCUUCGCCAAAGGUAAGAAAUGUAAAACGGACAUUAAACCUUACCUUCUCAAUUUGGCAGUUGCUGAUCUUAUCAUGGGAAUAUUCUGGUAUCCAUUCAUCUUCAUAUUAAUCUUUAAAAACGAAUUGGCUUCACACCCGGUCUUUUGCACUCUGGUUAGUUAUCUUCAGUCAUUUUCUGUAAACAUGAGUUCCUUCAUGAAUGUGGCGAUUGGUGUUGAUCGACUUAUCGCUGUUUUGUUCCCACUAAAAUAUCGGAUAACGACGUCUAGAUCUAGGCCUACAAUCGCCCUGAUCUGGUUGUUGUCGGCAGCAACAUCUUCCGUACCCCUUUUUUUCAUCAGAAUUGAAAAAGUUAACCAAGGUGGAAAAAACCAUGUGAUAUGCAUAAGUGACUGGGAAAACUCGUCGCAUUAUUUCAUUUACGUGUGGGUGAUGAGCAUUUGUACUAGCUUCCUGCCUUUUACUAUGCUAACUGUAACUUACGCAAUACUUGCUAACUUCUUGUGGAAGAGGAUAACACCAGGAAAUGAGAACCAGAUUAGGGACCAGCUGGCCACAAGAGCCAAAAUAAAGGUUGUAAAAAUGCUGUUUGUAAUUGUUGUCCUUUUCGGUUUAUGUUGGAUGCCUAUCACUAUAGCUCAACUGAUCCUCAUACACAAUGCUGAAUACUUUCGUAAUUCCUUAUCCGUACAUAUCUUAUAUUGCUUUUCCUGCAUUGGUUAGCUCUUGCCCACACAUGUGUGAACCCCAUCAUCUAUGGAUUCAUGAAUGAUAAAUUCAGAGAUGAUUUAAAAGAACUGCUGAAGAAAGCACGGUCCUUUCCAUGCAUAAGAUCAACAAAUGAUCGUCGGAGAUUGAACUACGGCGAAGAGAAAUAAUUUAGGGGAAUUGAAGAAUAAGGAACUCAAUCUUUGAACUUUGAGGGGAAAAAAAUGGUCGUCCUAGCUGAUUGAUGGCAAAGGAAACGUGAUUCCGAGGGAGAGAUAAUUUUGUUAAUAUCUCAGGAACAGAAGUAAUUUCGGGCAAAGAUUAAGUGAAACAUUAUACAUUUCGCUCAGCACCAACCUUAAAAUACGCGCAUGCGCGCGCGCACACACACACAUAUACACACACACACACACAUAUAUAUAUAUAUUAAGGCGGUGCUCCAGGAUGGUCGCAGUUAAAUGACUGAAACAAGUAUAAAAGAAUAAAAGAAUGUAUACAUACAGACAUACACACACACACACACACACACACACACACACACACACACACGUAUAUACUAAUAAUAACUCAAAGAUGGAAUAAUUAAAUGCAUCACGACGCUUAUUUCCUAAUGUAACAUGUUGCUUUUGACUAUAAUCCGGAUCCAUAGCACGAUUACAAUUUAAUAUUACCGUGCACAUAUGAACUCUUUCUCCAAUCCAAAUUCUAAAUCUUCUAUAUCCUUAUCAACUUAUAUACACAACCUCAAAUCUCAAAGUGUUUCCUUUACUCCAUCUUUUACUCUAUAUUGCAGAAUUGUAAUUUUAACGAGUUUUGACUAUUUAUCACCUGGCGAGAUACAUCUGCACCACCAGGUUCUCCUGAACCUGUUGUUGAGUGAGCCACCCGUGAGGGAUCGAUGCUAGUUGUGUCGAAACAAAUGUAAUCAAUAAUAAAUUCUCGUAUAUUCCA
RNA transcript from Octopus sinensis (East Asian common octopus), 2789 nucleotides. It is a transcript of the gene named tachykinin-like peptides receptor 86C, with no coding region annotated. NCBI's taxonomy places the organism in Eukaryota, Metazoa, Mollusca, Cephalopoda, Octopoda, Octopodidae. The record is from RefSeq and is a predicted model, not a curated record. The transcript has 4 exons.